This is a ribosomal RNA of 1042 nucleotides. It matches the Rfam family "Bacterial small subunit ribosomal RNA", at positions 56 to 1085 of the family's 1533-position model.
UGCAAGUCGAACGAUGAAGCCCAGCUUGCUGGGUGGAUUAGUGGCGAACGGGUGAGUAACACGUGAGUAACCUGCCCUUAACUCUGGGAUAAGCCUGGGAAACUGGGUCUAAUACCGGAUAGGAGCGUCCACCGCAUGGUGGGUGUCGGAAAGAUUUAUCGGUUUUGGAUGGACUCGCGGCCUAUCAGCUUGUUGGUGAGGUAAUGGCUCACCAAGGCGACGACGGGUAGCCGGCCUGAGAGGGUGACCGGCCACACUGGGACUGAGACACGGCCCAGACUCCUACGGGAGGCAGCAGUGGGGAAUAUUGCACAAUGGGCGAAAGCCUGAUGCAGCGACGCCGCGUGAGGGAUGACGGCCUUCGGGUUGUAAACCUCUUUCAGUAGGGAAGAAGCGAAAGUGACGGUACCUACAGAAGAAGCACCGGCUAACUACGUGCCAGCAGCCGCGGUAAUACGUAGGGUGCGAGCGUUAUCCGGAAUUAUUGGGCGUAAAGAGCUCGUAGGCGGUUUGUCGCGUCUGUCGUGAAAGUCCGGGGCUUAACCCCGGAUCUGCGGUGGGUACGGGCAGACUAGAGUGCAGUAGGGGAGACUGGAAUUCCUGGUGUAGCGGUGGAAUGCGCAGAUAUCAGGAGGAACACCGAUGGCGAAGGCAGGUCUCUGGGCUGUAACUGACGCUGAGGAGCGAAAGCAUGGGGAGCGAACAGGAUUAGAUACCCUGGUAGUCCAUGCCGUAAACGUUGGGCACUAGGUGUGGGGACCAUUCCACGGUUUCCGCGCCGCAGCUAACGCAUUAAGUGCCCCGCCUGGGGAGUACGGCCGCAAGGCUAAAACUCAAAGGAAUUGACGGGGGGCCCGCACAAGCGGGCGGAGCAUGCCGGAUUAAUUCCGAUGCAACGCCGAAAGAACCUUACCAAAGGCUUUGACAUGGUUCUCCGAUCCGCCGUAAAAGAUACCGGUUUCCCCUUUUGGGGGGGGGUUCACAAGGUGGGGGCAUGGGUUGUCCGCAAGCUCCGUGUCCGUGAGAAUGUUGGGGUUAAAGU